RNAcentral lists this ribosomal RNA (253 nucleotides) under uncultured bacterium. Its description in RNAcentral is "partial 16S ribosomal RNA". It matches the Rfam family "Bacterial small subunit ribosomal RNA", at positions 524 to 776 of the family's 1533-position model. The record is from RNAcentral.
UACGUAGGGUGCAAGCGUUAAUCGGAAUUACUGGGCGUAAAGCGUGCGCAGGCGGUUUUGUAAGGCUGAUGUGAAAUCCCCGGGCUCAACCUGGGAAUUGCAUUGGAGACUGCAAGGCUAGAAUCUGGCAGAGGGGGGUAGAAUUCCACGUGUAGCAGUGAAAUGCGUAGAGAUGUGGAGGAACACCGAUGGCGAAGGCAGCCCCCUGGGUCAAGAUUGACGCUCAUGCACGAAAGCGUGGGGAGCAAACAGG